RNAcentral lists this transfer RNA (74 nucleotides) under Myoviridae sp. ctCo31. RNAcentral's name for it is "tRNA-Thr". It matches the Rfam family "tRNA". Rfam says of the family: Transfer RNA (tRNA) molecules are approximately 80 nucleotides in length. Their secondary structure includes four short double-helical elements and three loops (D, anti-codon, and T loops). Lineage: Duplodnaviria; Heunggongvirae; Uroviricota; Caudoviricetes. The record is from RNAcentral.
GCCUUUUUAGUUUAACGGUAAAACGACUGUUUUGUAAUCAGUUGUUGGGAGUUCGAUUCUCUCAAAGGGCACCA